GUGCUCACUUCAGCAGCACAUACACUAAAAUUAGAACAAUACAGAGAAGACUAGCAUGGCCCUGGCACAAGGAUGACAUGGAAAUGCACGAAGUGUUCCAUAUUUAA
Camelus dromedarius (Arabian camel) is the source of this 107-nucleotide small nuclear RNA. The record is from Ensembl. NCBI's taxonomy places the organism in Eukaryota, Metazoa, Chordata, Mammalia, Artiodactyla, Camelidae.